AGGCAGUUGGGCGUGGCAACGGACGCUAUCUGAAAGCCACGCCCACUCGGGGCUGGAGGGCUGGGCUUCCUAACGGAAGCGCACCCUUCAAGUCCUGGAACACUGACUCUUCCUUCUGGCUGCUUUGGGGUUGCGGAAUGGAAAGACCCUCCCCGGAUGAGGGCCUCCUGCGUUUAGAAACCAGAGGAUUGGAGCGGCCGUAGGUACGCUGAGGAAGGCAGCGGUUCCCUGCGUUGAGAUCCGUGCCGCGAGGAGCUCUCUGCACAGCCGUCGCCGCUGCAGAGGCCCCAGGCUCGGGUCUGCAGGGCAGUGCGUGUCCCCAUGUGACCCGCGUGCUGCGGGGACCUAAGGGCACGUCUGGGAGCUGCCACCUCUGCAGAGGACGCGAGUCUGCAAGGCCUGCGCGACGCUGACACCUCGGGUCUGCAUCCGUGCGGGGCUAGAACUCAAGAGAAGCACCGCUUUUGUCGCCUUCCUAGAGGCGGGGGGACUAGAGGUGGCCAGCCUCUGUCUGCACCGCAGGAUGCGGAACCGUCGCCCAGCAUCUUCCCCUCGGCGUUCCGAGGGGACGGAACGACCCCGGCUUUGCAGCUCAGGUGAUGGAAAACAGGAACGCCUCACGGAGGAGGAAGGGAAGCGCCAAGGUCACCGGGAGUUUUAGGUCAAACCAAGAAACGAAGGAAGUCAAGUGUAAGGGCUGCGGUCCUCCGUCCUUCGGUGACCCCGACAGAUGGACAGAUGGAGGGCGAGCUCCGAGUUUAGCGCACUAUACGAAAGUGGCCUUGGGAGAAAUAACUUCGUUUAGUGUUACAACCUUAAAAAUCCAAACAUGAAACGGAAGGGAAACAGGUCUCACUACGAAGCCCUGGCUGGCCUGGAUCUCACUAUGCACUUCUGGCUAGUUUGAAACUCACUGUGGAGACCAGGCUAGCCUCAAACUCACAGAGAUCCACCCGAGUCUGCUGCCCAAGAGCUGGAAUUAAGGGCAUCAUCCUACUGUGCAGACCUGCUAUCUUGUUUAUUCAGUGCACUGGUUGCUCUUCAAGAAGACCCAGAUUCUAUUCCCUGCACCCCCCAUAAUGGCUCAUAACAAUGGAAUUCCAGUUCCAAGAGGUCUGAAGCCACCUGGCCGUGAGGGCACUAGACAUGCAUGUGGUACACGGACAUACAUGCAGCCCUGGCUGUCCUAGAACAAGCUCUGUAGACCAGGCUGACCUCAAACUCAGGAAGCCUCAAAAAAGCCUAGCAGAACACGGUAUGUACUUACUAAAUAAGUUCAGAAUAUUCAAGAUUCAAUUCAUAGACCAUAUCAAGCCCAAGAAGGAAGACCAAAAUGUGAAUGCUUCAGUGCUUCUUAGAAGGGAGAACAAAAUACUUAUAGGAGGAAAUAUGGAGACACAGUGUGGAACAGACACUGAAGUCUCUGGGCCAUCCAGAGACUGCCCCACCUGGGGAUCCAUCCCAUAUACAGCCACCAAACCCAAAUGAUAUUGUGGAU
Mus pahari (shrew mouse) is the source of this 1498-nucleotide long non-coding RNA. RefSeq lists it as uncharacterized. The record is from RefSeq and is a predicted model, not a curated record. Lineage: Eukaryota; Metazoa; Chordata; Mammalia; Rodentia; Muridae. The transcript is spliced from 4 exons.